This is a long non-coding RNA of Cyprinus carpio carpio, 443 nucleotides long. Lineage: Eukaryota; Metazoa; Chordata; Actinopteri; Cypriniformes; Cyprinidae. The record is from Ensembl.
GGACAACCGAGCCAAUCAACAGCCUGGCAGGAUUACGCAGCAUAUGGGCAUGUCCUGACUGUGAGGGAGAGCUAAACAGAGCAACUGUCAAUGGUGAAAUGGUGUGUGGGUGUCGUACACAGUAAUGGGUCAAUCACUCCGAAAAUAAGACUUUUUCUUCUGACUGAGCACGGAAGAGCUCUGUUCUCACCUAAUGUUGUGAAGCCUCCCCUGGUAGUCGCACCCCUAGUCCAAACAGUAGUCCCUGUUAUCUGGGGCCCCUGUGUUGCCUGGUACUGCAGGACCUUGGAGGACCCUCCACCCUCUCUGAACAGAGCAGCUCCCCAGCGUAGAGGCUACAUUGGCUGGCUUAUCUCGUCGCCUUUUGGUCCCGAAAGGCCUGUGCCCCGUUCUUCUGUGUCUAAUCUACAGCCACCGCUCCUACUGGUUCAGCAGCACUGGCA